UGUCGACAUUAUAGUUGCGCAGGCACUUUGGUGACUCUAGAGAACCUCGGGCCAAUCGCACGUCCCCGUGACACCGACUUUGCAUUCGGAUGUCUACCCUAUCAACUUUCAUUGCCACUUUCUGCACCUACCAUGGUGACCACGGGUAACGGGGAAUCAGGGUUCGAUUCCGGAGAGGGAACCUGAGAAAUGGCUACGACAUCCAAGGAAGGUAGCAGGCGUGCAAAUUACCCACUCCACACGCAGGGAGGUAGCGACGACA
Molecule: ribosomal RNA, 262 nt
Filed under: Pelobates cultripes (western spadefoot toad)
Lineage: Eukaryota; Metazoa; Chordata; Amphibia; Anura; Pelobatidae
Description: SSU_rRNA_microsporidia
Rfam family: Eukaryotic small subunit ribosomal RNA
Source: RNAcentral